This 1299-nucleotide ribosomal RNA is filed under the name Cryobacterium psychrotolerans. Its description in RNAcentral is "bacterial SSU rRNA". It matches the Rfam family "Bacterial small subunit ribosomal RNA", at positions 1 to 1316 of the family's 1533-position model. The record is from RNAcentral. Lineage: Bacteria; Bacillati; Actinomycetota; Actinomycetes; Micrococcales; Microbacteriaceae.
AUCCAGAGUUUGAUCAUGGCUCAGGACGAACGCUGGCGGCGUGCUUAACACAUGCAAGUCGAACGAUGACGGAGAGCUUGCUCUUCUGAUUAGUGGCGAACGGGUGAGUAACACGUGAGCAAUCUGCCCUUGACUCUGGGAUAAGCGUUGGAAACGACGUCUAAUACCGGAUACGACCUUGGAAGGCAUCUUCUGGGGUGGAAAGAAUUUUGGUCAGGGAUGAGCUCGCGGCCUAUCAGCUAGUUGGUGAGGUAAUGGCUCACCAAGGCGACGACGGGUAGCCGGCCUGAGAGGGUGACCGGCCACACUGGGACUGAGACACGGCCCAGACUCCUACGGGAGGCAGCAGUGGGGAAUAUUGCACAAUGGGCGAAAGCCUGAUGCAGCAACGCCGCGUGAGGGACGACGGCCUUCGGGUUGUAAACCUCUUUUAGUAGGGAAGAAGGGAGCUGCUCUGACGGUACUGCAGAAAAAGCACCGGCUAACUACGUGCCAGCAGCCGCGGUAAUACGUAGGGUGCAAGCGUUGUCCGGAAUUAUUGGGCGUAAGAGCUCGUAGGCGGUUUGUCGCGUCUGCUGUGAAAACCCGAGGCUCAACCUCGGGCCUGCAGUGGGUACGGGCAGACUAGAGUGCGGUAGGGGAGAUUGGAAUUCCUGGUGUAGCGGUGGAAUGCGCAGAUAUCAGGAGGAACACCAAUGGCGAAGGCAGAUCUCUGGGCCGUAACUGACGCUGAGGAGCGAAAGCAUGGGGAGCGAACAGGAUUAGAUACCCUGGUAGUCCAUGCCGUAAACGUUGGGAACUAGAUGUGGGGACCAUUCCACGGUCUCCGUGUCGCAGCUAACGCAUUAAGUUCCCCGCCUGGGGAGUACGGCCGCAAGGCUAAAACUCAAAGGAAUUGACGGGGGCCCGCACAAGCGGCGGAGCAUGCGGAUUAAUUCGAUGCAACGCGAAGAACCUUACCAAGGCUUGACAUAUAGAGGAAACGGCUGGAAACAGUCGCCCCGCAAGGUCUCUAUACAGGUGGUGCAUGGUUGUCGUCAGCUCGUGUCGUGAGAUGUUGGGUUAAGUCCCGCAACGAGCGCAACCCUCGUCCUAUGUUGCCAGCACGUAAUGGUGGGAACUCAUGGGAUACUGCCGGGGUCAACUCGGAGGAAGGUGGGGAUGACGUCAAAUCAUCAUGCCCCUUAUGUCUUGGGCUUCACGCAUGCUACAAUGGCCGGUACAAAGGGCUGCAAUACCGCAAGGUGGAGCGAAUCCCAAAAAGCCGGUCUCAGUUCGGAUUGAGGUCUGCAACUCGAC